RNAcentral lists this small nuclear RNA (96 nucleotides) under Castor canadensis (American beaver). Lineage: Eukaryota; Metazoa; Chordata; Mammalia; Rodentia; Castoridae. The record is from RNAcentral.
GUGCUUGCUUGGGCAGCACUUAUACUAAAUCUGAGUGGUACAGAGAUUAGCGUGGCCCCCGUGCAAGCAUGAAUUUAUGAACCAUUCUGUAUUUUU